RNAcentral lists this microRNA precursor (135 nucleotides) under Procavia capensis (Cape rock hyrax). RNAcentral describes it as "miRNA (ENSPCAG00000020484.1)". The record is from RNAcentral. Lineage: Eukaryota; Metazoa; Chordata; Mammalia; Hyracoidea; Procaviidae.
GUAUGCCCAAUUAAGUUUGAACUUAAAGAACAAUUUUUUUCUUUUAGUAUCAGUACAUUUCAUGCAAUAUUUGGGAAAUACUUAUACUAAAACAUUAUCUGUGGUUUACCUGAAGUUCAUAUUUAACUGGGCAUC